GAUGAACGCUGGCGGCGUGCCUAAUACAUGCAAGUCGAGCGAACGGACGCGAAGCUUGUUUCUUUGACGUUAGCCGAGGACGGGUGUGUAACACGUGGAUCACCUACCUAUAAGACUGGGAUAACCUCGGGAAACCGGCGCAAAUACCGGAUAAUCUCUUGAACCGCAUUGUUCAAAAGUGAAAGACGGCCUUGCUGUCACUUAUAGAUGCAUCCGCGCUGCAUUAGCUAGUUGGUAAGGUAACGGCUUACCAAGGCAACUAUGCAUAGCCGACCUGAGAGGGUGAUCGGCCACACGGGAGCGGAGACACGGUCCAGACUCCUACGGGAGGCAGCAGUAGGGAAUCUUCCGCAGUGGGCGAAAGCCUGACGGAGCGACGCCGCGUGAGUGAUGAAGGUCUUCGGAUCGUAAAACUCUGUUAUUAGGGAAGAACAUAUGUGUAAGUAACUGUGCACAGCUUGACGGUACCUAAUCAGAAAGCCACGGCUAACUACGUG
This 497-nucleotide ribosomal RNA is filed under the name uncultured bacterium. RNAcentral describes it as "partial 16S ribosomal RNA". It matches the Rfam family "Bacterial small subunit ribosomal RNA", at positions 28 to 507 of the family's 1533-position model. The record is from RNAcentral.